This 253-nucleotide ribosomal RNA is filed under the name uncultured bacterium. Its description in RNAcentral is "partial 16S ribosomal RNA". It matches the Rfam family "Bacterial small subunit ribosomal RNA", at positions 524 to 776 of the family's 1533-position model. The record is from RNAcentral.
UACGAAGGGGGCUAGCGUUGCUCGGAAUGACUGGGCGUAAAGGGCGCGUAGGCGGCUUGCACCGUCAGAUGUGAAAUUCCUUGGCUUAACCUGGGGGCUGCAUUUGAUACGUGUGGGCUUGAGUGCGGAAGAGGGUCGUGGAAUUCCCAGUGUAGAGGUGAAAUUCGUAGAUAUUGGGAAGAACACCGGUGGCGAAGGCGGCGACCUGGUCCGUGACUGACGCUGAGGCGCGAAAGCGUGGGGAGCAAACAGG